RNA transcript from Brassica napus (rape), 1319 nucleotides. It is a transcript of the gene named kinesin-like protein KIN-5B, with no coding region annotated. The transcript is spliced from 4 exons. The record is from RefSeq and is a predicted model, not a curated record. NCBI's taxonomy places the organism in Eukaryota, Viridiplantae, Streptophyta, Magnoliopsida, Brassicales, Brassicaceae.
AAAAAUUCCCAUCUCUCUCUCUUCUUCGUCGGUUGUUCUUUCUCUCUUCUUCUUUCUCUGUUCGUCGUGCUGCUGAUGGAAGCGCUUAAUUUUGAGAAAUGUGAGGAAUGUGGAGUUAUGAUCGCGAUUGCUCUGUUUGAUAUGCACGAGGGCGGAGAGAAACGAAGUGAAGUGAAGAGAUUCAAGUGCGUUUCGAGGGAGGGGAUUUACUUGCGGAGGCUGGAGUGAUUCAUUUAUGUUGUUGUUGUUGUUGUCUAGGGAGGGGAUUGACCUCCGGAGGCUGGAGUGAUUCCAAGAGCUGUUCGUCACAUUUUCGAAACUCUCGAGUCCCAAAAAGCUGACUACAGUAUGAAAGUCACGUUCUUGGAGCUGUACAACGAAGAAGUCACAGACCUGUUAGCUCAAGAAGACUCUUCAAGAUCUUCUUCUGACGAUAAGCAGAAGAAGCAUGUUUCUCUGAUGGAAGACGGGAAAGGCUGUGUGGUUCUACGCGGUCUCGAGGAAGAAGUUGUGUACAGUGCUAACGAUAUAUACGCUCUUCUCGAACGAGGCUCAUCAAAAAGACGCACGGCGGAUACGUUGUUGAAUAAAAGAAGCAGCCGCUCUCAUUCUGUUUUUACCAUCACGGUGCAUAUUAAGGAAGAGUCUAUGGGAGAUGAGGAGUUGAUCAAAUGUGGGAAGCUUAACCUUGUGGAUCUAGCGGGCUCCGAGAAUAUUUUUCGGUCAGGGUCGAGGGAUGGUAGGGCGAGAGAAGCUGGGGAGAUUAACAAGAGCUUGCUUACGCUGGGGGCGUGUGAUCAAUGCGCUUGUGGAACAUUCUUCCCAUAUACCUUACAGGGAUAGUGAGCUGACAAGGCUUUUACAAGACUCUCUAGGAGGGAAGACAAAGACUUGUAUCAUUGCUACAAUCUCACCAUCUGCUCAUUCCUUGGAAGAAACUUUAAGCACUUUGGAUUAUGCCUAUCGUGCCAAGAACAUUAAGAACAAACCUGAGGCAAACCAGAAGUUAACCAAAGCUGUGUUGCUUAAAUACCUUUACUUGGAGCUUGAGAGAACAAAAAAAGGUUUACACACGUUACUUUCUCAUGUAUAUCAUCAGAUGAGCUAGUAGAUUUGUUAUAACUGCUGUAAAAUGGAUGCAGAUGUAAGAGCGGCAAGGGAUAGAAAAGCUUUACACACAUUACUUUCUCAUGUAUAUCAUCAGAUGAGCUAGUAGAUUUCCAAUACUGCUUCAACCAUUUUCAGUUACAUCUACAACCAAGCUCACACCAACACCUUGCAAUUCAAUUUCUCUUUGCCUAUGUAUGAUUUUCUUUCAU